UACAGAGGGUGCGAGCGUUAAUCGGAAUUACUGGGCGUAAAGCGCGCGUAGGCGGCUUUUCAAGUCGAUUGUGAAAUCCCCGGGCUUAACCUGGGAACUGCAGUCGAGACUGUCUAGCUAGAGUAUGGGAGAGGGAAGUGGAAUUUCAGGUGUAGCGGUGAAAUGCGUAGAUAUCUGAAGGAACAUCAGUGGCGAAAGCGACUUCUUGGACCAAUACUGACGCUCAUGUGCGAAAGCGUGGGGAGCAAACAGG
This 253-nucleotide ribosomal RNA is filed under the name uncultured bacterium. RNAcentral's name for it is "partial 16S ribosomal RNA". It matches the Rfam family "Bacterial small subunit ribosomal RNA", at positions 524 to 776 of the family's 1533-position model. The record is from RNAcentral.